GUCCCUGUAGCGCAAUGGGUAGCGCGUUGGUGUAGCUAAUCAAAGGUUGUGGGUUCGAAUCCCACCUGGGAUG
Molecule: non-coding RNA, 73 nt
Organism: Trichonephila clavipes
Lineage: Eukaryota; Metazoa; Arthropoda; Arachnida; Araneae; Nephilidae
Source: the annotation of a GenBank genome assembly